This 301-nucleotide ribosomal RNA is filed under the name uncultured bacterium. RNAcentral describes it as "partial 16S ribosomal RNA". It matches the Rfam family "Bacterial small subunit ribosomal RNA", at positions 509 to 807 of the family's 1533-position model. The record is from RNAcentral.
CAGUCGCCGCGGGAAUACGAAGGGGGCUAGCGUUGCUCGGAAUCACUGGGCGUAAAGGGCGCGUAGGCGGACUUUUAAGUCGGGGGUGAAAGCCCAGGGCUCAACCCUGGAAUUGCCUUCGAUACUGAGAGUCUUGAGUUCGGAAGAGGUUGGUGGAACUGCGAGUGUAGAGGUGAAAUUCGUAGAUAUUCGCAAGAACACCAGUGGCGAAGGCGGCCAACUGGUCCGAUACUGACGCUGAGGCGCGAAAGCGUGGGGAGCAAACAGGAUUAGAUACCCGUGUAGUCCCUGUCUCUUAUAC